RNAcentral lists this ribosomal RNA (431 nucleotides) under uncultured bacterium. RNAcentral describes it as "bacterial SSU rRNA". It matches the Rfam family "Bacterial small subunit ribosomal RNA", at positions 355 to 796 of the family's 1533-position model. The record is from RNAcentral.
UCGAGGAUCUUCGGCAAUGGGCGCAAGCCUGACCGAGCGACGCCGCGUGUGCGAUGAAGGCCUUCGGGUUGUAAAGCACUGUCGAGGGGGAGGAAGCCGCAAGGUUGACCUAUCCCUGGAGGAAGCACGGGCUAAGUUCGUGCCAGCAGCCGCGGUAAGACGAACCGUGCGAACGUUGUUCGGAAUCACUGGGCUUAAAGGGCGCGUAGGCGGGCCACCAAGUCCGGGGUGAAAUCCUCCGGCUUAACCGGAGAAUUGCCUGGGAUACUGGUGGUCUUGAGGGAGGUAGGGGCACGCGGAACUUCCGGUGGAGCGGUGAAAUGCGUUGAUAUCGGAAGGAACGCCGGUGGCGAAAGCGGCGUGCUGGCCCUCUUCUGACGCUGAGGCGCGAAAGCCAGGGGAGCGAACGGGAUUAGAUACCCCCGUAGUCC